Molecule: non-coding RNA, 73 nt
Organism: Amoeboaphelidium occidentale
Lineage: Eukaryota; Fungi; Aphelidiomycota; Aphelidea
Source: the annotation of a GenBank genome assembly
GUCCUGGUAUUUCAGGGGUUAGAAAGUACGAUUGCAAAUCGUGAGGUCGCCGGUUCAAAUCCGGCCCAGGACU